CCAAGCAGACGCUUCCCUCUUCUCUCAUACCGCUUCGUCCUACUUCAGCUAGAUGGAAUCUUUCGUAAAGCCAUCCUGAAAGUAAGGUUGCAUAUAGAAUCUUCGACCUCCCGGUCCGAAGGAACGAUAGGACCGUCUACGUCAGAGAAAGAAGAUACUCCUCCCUUUUAUCGAUAAAGUAUACUAUUACUUCUGCCCUCGAAACAG
RNAcentral lists this long non-coding RNA (207 nucleotides) under Salvia miltiorrhiza (redroot sage). Its description in RNAcentral is "long non-coding RNA (SMIL_LNC010005)". The record is from RNAcentral. Lineage: Eukaryota; Viridiplantae; Streptophyta; Magnoliopsida; Lamiales; Lamiaceae.